GGCCGGUUAGCACAAUUGGUAGUGUGUCUGACUACGAAGCGUUGGCUUAGUGAAUCAGGAGGUUGCGGGUUCGAGCCCCGUGCUGGUCA
This 89-nucleotide transfer RNA is filed under the name Malassezia globosa. RNAcentral describes it as "tRNA-Arg". It matches the Rfam family "tRNA". From Rfam's summary of the family: Transfer RNA (tRNA) molecules are approximately 80 nucleotides in length. Their secondary structure includes four short double-helical elements and three loops (D, anti-codon, and T loops). Further hydrogen bonds mediate the characteristic L-shaped molecular structure. tRNAs have two regions of fundamental functional importance: the anti-codon, which is responsible for specific mRNA codon recognition, and the 3' end, to which the tRNAs corresponding amino acid is attached (by aminoacyl-tRNA synthetases). tRNAs cope with the degeneracy of the genetic code in two manners: having more than one tRNA (with a specific anti-codon) for a particular amino acid; and 'wobble' base-pairing, i.e. permitting non-standard base-pairing at the 3rd anti-codon position. The record is from RNAcentral. RNAcentral also lists the same sequence under 1 other name. Lineage: Eukaryota; Fungi; Basidiomycota; Malasseziomycetes; Malasseziales; Malasseziaceae.